RNAcentral lists this ribosomal RNA (2070 nucleotides) under Triticum aestivum (bread wheat). RNAcentral describes it as "partial small subunit ribosomal RNA". Lineage: Eukaryota; Viridiplantae; Streptophyta; Magnoliopsida; Poales; Poaceae. The record is from RNAcentral.
AUGGGAGUAAUAGUAACUACAAGAUUUCAAGCUGUUGGUGUGGCAUGCUCAGAAAGAGGUGGAACUGAUUAUCUGCAUACUGUUAAUGUUCUAAGUGCUGCCAAUUCCAAAAGUCUAUUUCUUCAUGGCGUUUUCGGAUCCCCAAGAAGCAAAGAAAGGGAAAGAAGGGAUACAAGAUCUCAAGUUAUUUUUACCGAGUCCUCCGAAGGAGAUGGAACUGAUCAUUUGCAUUCAGCUGAUGUUCCUAGUGAUGCCGAUGCAAAAGAUCUUCUCAAUGAUCGUGUUUCUGAUCCACGAGGCAGCAAAGGUCAGGAGAAAGAAGAGGUCCUUGAGGAGAUUUGGAAAUAUUGUGGGGGCCUGCCUUUGGCCAUAGUCACCAUGGCUGGCCUUGUGGCUUGCAACCCAACAAAAAACAAUGAUCAUUGGAGUAAGGUUUGCAAGUCAUUAUUUCCAGAGCAGGUGGCUCCCCUUACAUUGGAAGGGGUCACAAGGAUACUUGAUUAUUGCUAUAAUGAUUUGCCAGCGGAUCUCAAGACCUGCUCAUUGUACUUGAGCAUAUUCCCCAAGGGCUCCAAUAUUAGUAAGAAGCGUCUGACCCGGCGAUGGAUAUCUGAAUGUUUCGUCGCUGAGAAGCAAGGGCUGAGUGCAGAGGAAGUCGCAGAAACAUAUUUCAAUCAGCUCGUAAGCAGGAAGAUAAUACGUCCUGUGGAUCACAGCAGCAAUGGGAAGGUCAAAUCCUUUAAAGUUCAUGACAUGAUUCUCGAAUAUAUCGUGUCCAAGUCAAGCGAAGAGAAUUUUAUUACUGUUGUUGGUGGCCAUUGGUUGAUGCCAACUCCUAGCAACAAAGUCCGCCGACUUUCCAUGCAAAGCAGUAGUUCCAAGCAAGAGAAUUCAACAAAAGGCAUGAACUUGUCUCAAGUGCGGUCACUGACGGUGUUCGGAAGCCAGACCCGACGACUCCCUUUCCACUCGUUUAAUAAUGGAAUAAUACAAGUGCUAGAUCUUGAGGGUUGGAAGGGAUUGACAAAUAAACAUCUAAAUGGCAUAUGCAAAAUGGUUGUGCUGAAGUAUUUGAGCCUCCGACGAACAGAGGUUUCUGAGAUUCCCUCAAAGAUUGAGAAGCUCCAGUAUUUGGAAACUCUUGACAUAAGGGAGACCAAUUUUCAGGUGCUGCCCAAAGCUUUUGGCCACCUCAAACGGCUCCGUAGCAUGCUUGGAGGGAGUAAAAACCCACGGAAGGCAUUGAAGUUGCCCGAUGAGAAAAAUAAGGAGCCGAUGAAAGCACUCCGUAUACUGUCAGGGAUUGAGAUCGAUGAGGAUUCAUCAGCUGUAGCAAGCCUUCAUCAGCUGACAGGGCUAAGGAAGCUUGCCAUUUACAAGCUCAAUAAACGAGAGGGCGGUCAGACCUUCACACAGUUACGCUCGGCCAUCGAGUACCUAUGUAGCUGUGGUCUGCAAACUCUUACAAUCAAUGAUGAGGGCUCUGAUUUUAUUAACUCCUUGGACACCAUGUCUGCUCCCCCAAGAUACAUCAUUGGCCUGGAGUUGUCUGGCAAGAUGGAAAAGCCCCCAAAGUGGAUUAAAGAUCUGAAUAAUCUCUACAAGCUAACCCUUUCUGUGACAGUUCUUCAGACUCGUACAUUUCAGCUCAUCCAGGACCUGCCAAAAUUGUUUACACUCACCUUUACACUCAGCGUAGCCAAGGAUGAUAGGGACAUAGUGGACAUUCUUGAGGAAAAUAAACAACUUACCGAUAGGGAGAUCAUUGUUCCGCCUGGAGGAUUCAAGAGUCUAAAGCUGCUUCGCUUCUUUGCAACUAUGGUGCCAAGGCUGAGCUUUGCAGUUACAGGAAAAGAGGUAAUGCCGGCACUGGAGAGGAUUGAUAUGCGGUUUGAAGUCUUUGAAGGGAUUUACGGCAUCGAGACUCUCAAAAGCCUCCAAGAGGUGCAUCUCAGUGUUGGUAAUCAAGCAGAUGAAAUAACCAAGUUCUUGGUAGAUGAUUUGAAGGACACACCCAAUUACUUGGAUCAAAAGUACGCCAGCAAGUGGCCAAAGAUAAUCACCGAGUGA